Molecule: unclassified non-coding RNA, 148 nt
Organism: Callithrix jacchus (white-tufted-ear marmoset)
Lineage: Eukaryota; Metazoa; Chordata; Mammalia; Primates; Cebidae
Rfam family: Metazoan signal recognition particle RNA
About the family: The signal recognition particle (SRP) is a universally conserved ribonucleoprotein. It is involved in the co-translational targeting of proteins to membranes.
Source: Ensembl
GCUGGGCAUGGUGGUGCAUGCCUGUAAUCCCAGCUACUGAAGAGGCUGAGGCAGAAGAAUCACUUGAACCCAGGAGGCGGAGGUUGCAGUGAGCCAAGAUCACGCCACUGCACUCCAGCCUGGAUGACAGAGUGAGACUCUGCCUCAA